This is a non-coding RNA of Drosophila melanogaster (fruit fly), 2301 nucleotides long. Lineage: Eukaryota; Metazoa; Arthropoda; Insecta; Diptera; Drosophilidae. The record is from Ensembl.
ACCCGAGUAAGCUAACCUGUUUUCACAUGGUAUUAAAGGAUCUUCUUUAAGUGCUUUGUUUGCUUUAAUAUUGCUCAUAAAAUGUACAGCCAUUUGCAAACUACAGAAAAAUUAAUUAGUUAUGAUAAUCAAAGUAAUGGAAAUUCAUAUUAUAUUUUUAAAAUAUUAAAAUGUGUUUUCUAGAACUUAACGAAAUCAUCAAAUGUUUAGAAUCUAUCAUAAUUAGGAAAAAUGAAAGUUUUAGUACGAGCAAAACAUUAAUUUCCUGCCAUCUCUAAUUAAAGUCAGACCGAAAAACUUUAUAGACCAUUAAAAUUAUACUGCAAUUACAAAUGUAAAAUCAAUCCGCAAGCUGAAUGUGAAAAUAAGCCAGAAAAAAGGGAUGAGGCAUGAAAAAGCCUGCAGCAAUUGGCACAAACCAAAUGGCUCCACAGUGCCAAAAACCACACAAAAAAAAACCAUGAUAAAAGAGGGAAAGCUGUGAAAUGCUGGGAAACUGAGAAGGGAAAUUCCAGCAAAAGUAGAGGAAACAGUGAAAGGAAAAGCAGAGGAACCAACAAGGGAAAUGGAUCAAUGUCGAAUGUCUGGGAGCUUGAUGGUAAUUUGAGAGAGAGCUUAUGCUCCCCAUUGUAAUUGUGAUUUGGAUUCGAAGAAUCUGAAAUGAAUAGAAGCAGCUAAAGGGAUAGACAUGAUUCAAUUACGAAGCUCUUCCCGAAAUCAGAGGUAAAAAAACCUACUUCAGUGCGUCGCAUAUCUGAGUGAUAGGAAACAUUUUCGUAAAUUGUCUAAUAUGAAACAUUAUUUACUUACAGUAAGCCGAAAAUGACACUCAAUAACAUUAAUCUCCUUGUAAUUUAUCCCUUAGGAGUCCUUUUACAAACCCCAAACCAAUCAUUGCUGCAUUGUUAUGCAUACAUGUGACUUUUCCCUGUCGAUACAGCAUAGUAAUUCAUUUCACUUUCCCAGUUUUUCCACAGCACAAUUUUUUAUGUACUGAUUUUCCUGUCGAUUAAGCCCAACGGAAUGAACACUGCCCAACUGCAACCCAAACUGAACAAAGGGACAUAUGUGGAUAUGUACAACAUACCCAAAUCCAGUGGCAAAUUGCAACAUAUUUGCAUGUGCCACUUGCAACAUUUACGAUCGACUAAAGCACUCACUCAAUCAUCGCUGGGGGACAAGAACAAUAACAAACAGCUACCGAAAAUACGACAAAAAUUUCCGCAGCAAAGAGGGAAAUCCCGCAGGAGGGAAAGUGGAAAAAAACUGGGUGGUGAGUGUAAGGGUGAAAUCCAUCGAUUGCGUGCAGCGUUAAAUGUCAGCCCGCAGCCAAUUGCAGAUGUCAACACAUGCAUGGCCCCCCCCAAAAAAAAAGGAAAUGGAUCCCCAACACAGUCACACACUUUGCGCCUAAAAAUUGGCAGACAUUUUCGCGAGUGGGUGAAUUUCGGAAAAUGUUGUGAUUCAUGCCCGCUUUUCCGGCGGCUCAUUGCGCGUCGAAUGCGUUCAAUUACGAAAUGCCAAAACUGUCCGGCGAAUUCGUUUCAAUUUCAAAGUACAUUCGCAAUCACUUUGUUCAUUGUGCUGCCUGUCAAUUGCAUUAAUUUAUAAUUAUGUGCCGCCCGCCCACACAGGCACAUCCACACAAAAGACAACUAAUUAAGGCAAAGCAAUUAACUUAAGCAGCGACUAAGUCGGCUCACGAACCACUUGAAACUCCAAUUAGGGGCGUGGCACAUCCACAAUCUGUCUAAUCCCAUCGAGGGUCCAAGGUAAUUUGGUCGGAUAUCACGAUUUGCCUAUUACUCAUCCCUUCUAUGUAUUCAAUCUACCGACUUUUCCUAGUUGUUUGCACUUUGAAUUAAUUAAGCUGAAUUUGAUUUUAGUGAUUGUGUCGCUUUUUCUCCUUUUGAUUGCAAGCUGUUUAAUGCAAUGUAAACAGAAAUAAAUAAAGCUUUGGGCCGGCUGUCGCACAAUCUUCUGUUUGCCUCCCACACUAUGUUAUAUAAUACGCUUUCCCGAUGCUGAUAAGACGGCGUACUGAAUACAAAAGAAUUGGGGCAGAUGAAGGAACAGCUCCUUUUAAUACCCACCGAAUUAGGGGACGCUCUUCCUAUUAAAGUAAAGUUUGUUGUGGUAUAUAUAUAUUAUUAAUAGAGUACAAAAUAAGAUUAUAAAAUAAGAUAAUAAUAAAUAUAUAAUAAACUACGAAUAUAUUCAAAUUUAGAGUUCAAUGCUUGAAAUAUAUUUCAUAAUUCAAAUACUCAUGGUUAGGGUAAAAAAAACAAAGCCAGACUACUG